GCAACAACCCUCUGGAGGGCUGAGGCUGUGGUUCAUCCCAGCCUCUCCCAGGGUAUCACAGCUCCAGCCUGGUACUCAGGGUCCCUGGAGCAGGAUGUGGGGUACAGAUGGAGCCCAGCAGGCCUGCCUACAGCACCAGGCUGAGAGUUGUAAAGGAAAGAUGGGCUAGAGAUGAGAAACUAACAAAUCAAAGCUCCCGAAACCUGCUGCGGAGACAGAAACACAAAAUGCUUUGUUUGGAGAUGAAUAGAAAGCUGAAACCAGCAAAAAAAAUCCCCACUCCCCACGAGCACAGAUGUUUCAGAGUUAUAUCUGACACCAGAGUCCAUCAGACAGAGUCCUUACAAACACAGGAGUCCUGAAGACAUCGGCUGAAUGUUUUUCCUGGUAUAAAGAAGAAGAGGAGGAGGAAGAGGUGGUGACAGUGCGGAUGCAGUGGGUUUGGACGGGGGCUGAGGACGUGGUGGAAGGAGAGAGGUCGGUAUGUUUGUAGCAACGUUCUUAAAUUAUUUUUUAUUUUGUUCAUUUGUUCUCUUUUUAAAAAACAAAACCAAGAAAACAAACAAAAACCAAACCAACCCACCAUUAUUAUUUGCAAAUUGUU
Molecule: long non-coding RNA, 604 nt
Filed under: Amazona collaria (yellow-billed parrot)
Lineage: Eukaryota; Metazoa; Chordata; Aves; Psittaciformes; Psittacidae
Description: lncRNA (ENSACOG00000014915.1)
Source: RNAcentral